This 332-nucleotide long non-coding RNA is filed under the name Musa acuminata (dwarf banana). RNAcentral's name for it is "long non-coding RNA (MACU_LNC011146)". Lineage: Eukaryota; Viridiplantae; Streptophyta; Magnoliopsida; Zingiberales; Musaceae. The record is from RNAcentral.
GUGGCUCGGCGACCUGGAAACUCCCUCCAGGCCCACCCAAGCUCCCCGUCAUCGGCCACCUCCACCUCUUGGGGAGCAGCUUGCUGCAUCGCUCCCUUUGGGAACUCUCCAAGAAACAUGGACCUCUCAUGCACUUGAAACUUGGUCGAGUCCCCGUUGUCGUCGUGUCCUCGCCGGAGAUGGCUAAGGAAGUGCUCAAGACACACGACCUUGAGUGCUGCAGUCGGCCUUCGCUCCUCUCGUAUUCCAAGAUUUCAUACGGUCUCUCCGACGUGGCCUUCAUCCCAUACGGAGAACGAUGGAGGCAGCUUCGGAAGUUCUGCACCGUCGAA